This 253-nucleotide ribosomal RNA is filed under the name uncultured bacterium. RNAcentral's name for it is "partial 16S ribosomal RNA". It matches the Rfam family "Bacterial small subunit ribosomal RNA", at positions 524 to 776 of the family's 1533-position model. The record is from RNAcentral.
UACGUAGGGAGCAAGCGUUGUCCGGAAUCAUUGGGCGUAAAGCGCGCGUAGGCGGCCUUGUAAGUCCGUUGUGAAAGUCAAAGGCUCAACCUUUGAAAGCCGAUGGAUACUGUGAGGCUAGAGUCCGGAAGAGGCGAGUGGAAUUCCUGGUGUAGCGGUGGAAUGCGCAGAUAUCAGGAGGAACACCAAUAGCGAAGGCAGCUCGCUGGGACGGUACUGACGCUAAGGCGCGAAAGCGUGGGGAGCGAACAGG